UGUUAAUCUUAUAACAUUUUAAACUGGGGCUGUGUGCCUUCAAGCUUUGUAGUUAAUGAUAAAACUCUGGUACGGUUGUCCUAAGAAACAAGCAAAGCAAAGCAAAUUACAGAAGUGAAAGACAGGUUAUUCUGUAGUUCCUUAACAUUCUGUAGGUUUCAGGCUAUUUACAGGAGUUCUCUUUAGCAAAAUCAUCACAGGGAGACCAACGCCUUGCCAGACGUGUGAGACAGCGGCCUGGGAAGCUGGUCUUCCAGACUGGCUCUGGGUUCAGAGAACUGCAGCCUCAUGAGAAGCCCUGCCCCAGAAAGAAAUCUGAGAAGUCAGAUUUGUCGCUGAAACCCUAGGCUCCAAGACAGUUUUGUACCCAGUGGUACAUGGGUCUCCCUGCUGCUCAGAGUUUGCCUGGCUGUUUCUACCUGGCUGAGCUGCACAGAUGCACAGACAGUGGCGCCCAGGGCCACCCUGCAGGAGUCGUGACACCAGCAGUUCUGUCCUCCGGGGCUUGGGAGGCCCUAGGCUCAAGUUCUCGCCCCAGUGGAUGUCGAUUCGGGGGCACAGGGAGAAGCAGAGUUUUCAGUGUCGCUCGGCUGCUAAGGAAAUCAGGCUGCGUUUCCAGCAGUCUGGAUUUGACAGACCUCAGCCCGCGGUGCCGUGUGGCACGCACCCCAUCCGAUACCCCACAGCCCAGCCCCUUCAUGGGUGCAGCCGUUCUCCCUGGAGUACCCUCGGGAGGUGCCCGACUUCCAGCAGCCACCAUCAGGGAGGUCGGUUUGUCCCUCCAUCGCCAGAGCUCCCUGUGACCCUCCACCUCAGCAGCCCCUGAGAGGGGAGCCUGUCCCAGCCCACCAUUCCACAAUGGCUGGAAAUGAUAUGGGAGACAGGGCCAGGCUGGCCUCAAACUCGCAAUCUUCCUGCCUCAGCCUCCCGGGUGCUGGGAUUACAGGUGUGCUCCUCCGUGCCCAGCUUGCAGCUGUUAAGCACCCUGUGUGAGCCAGGCGCACACGAGCCUGUCUGACAGCUGUGGGUGUGCAGGGUGAGAGGGAGGCUGGGAGGCUGUCGGGCAGAAGGCGACAGCCGACUUGACACACAAGUAGGGCCCAGGCAGCGCUCCUGAUUUUACCCCCCAUGGCGGUGGGGAGGGUACGAUCCUGGCUGAAGUCCUGGAGGAGCAGCAAAGUGGAAUGAGACUGACAUGCUUUCAAAGAGGGGAAAGCUGGCCAGACUCGGGGUCAAACGUCCCCUCAGCGACAGGGACAGGGGAGCGGAAGAGACGGGGGAAGGCAGCUGGGGUGGGGAGCAU
Long non-coding RNA from Fukomys damarensis (Damara mole-rat), 1303 nucleotides. RefSeq lists it as uncharacterized. Lineage: Eukaryota; Metazoa; Chordata; Mammalia; Rodentia; Bathyergidae. The record is from RefSeq and is a predicted model, not a curated record. The transcript has 3 exons.